GAUGAACGCUGGCGGCGUGCCUAAUACAUGCAAGUCGAGCGAACAGACGAGGAGCUUGCUCCUCUGACGUUAGCGGCGGACGGGUGAGUAACACGUGGAUAACCUACCUAUAAGACUGGGAUAACUUCGGGAAACCGGAGCUAAUACCGGAUAAUAUAUUGAACCGCAUGGUUCAAUAGUGAAAGACGGUUUUGCUGUCACUUAUAGAUGGAUCCGCGCCGCAUUAGCUAGUUGGUAAGGUAACGGCUUACCAAGGCAGCGAUGCGUAGCCGACCUGAGAGGGUGAUCGGCCACACUGGAACGGAGACACGGUCCAGACUCCUACGGGAGGCAGCAGUAGGGAAUCUUCCGCAAUGGGCGAAAGCCUGACGGAGCAACGCCGCGUGAGUGAUGAAGGUCUUCGGAUCGUAAAACUCUGUUAUUAGGGAAGAACAAAUGUGUAAGUAACUAUGCACGUCUUGACGGUACCUAAUCAGAAAGCCACGGCUAACUACGUG
RNAcentral lists this ribosomal RNA (497 nucleotides) under uncultured bacterium. RNAcentral's name for it is "partial 16S ribosomal RNA". It matches the Rfam family "Bacterial small subunit ribosomal RNA", at positions 28 to 507 of the family's 1533-position model. The record is from RNAcentral.